This is a non-coding RNA of Podarcis muralis (Common wall lizard), 126 nucleotides long. Lineage: Eukaryota; Metazoa; Chordata; Lepidosauria; Squamata; Lacertidae. The record is from RefSeq and is a predicted model, not a curated record.
UGGCUGUCACAUGGAGGAUGGAGCAAGCUUGUUUCCUCCUGCUCUGGAAGGCUUACCUGGAGUUCUUCACCUCCAGCGAGAAUGUCAGAGCCCUCCAAACAGUGUUGAAGAACUACGGCCAGCGAG